GGCAGUGGCAGCCCAGUGGUUAAGCUGUUGCACUACUACUCAGAAGGUUGUGAGUUCAAACCCCAGCAGUGCUG
This is a non-coding RNA of Pangasianodon gigas (Mekong giant catfish), 74 nucleotides long. Lineage: Eukaryota; Metazoa; Chordata; Actinopteri; Siluriformes; Pangasiidae. The record is from the annotation of a GenBank genome assembly.